UACGGAGGGUGCAAGCGUUAUCCGGAUUCACUGGGUUUAAAGGGUGCGUAGGUGGCUUUGUAAGUCAGUGGUGAAAUGCCGGAGCUCAACUCCGGAACUGCCAUUGAUACUGCUUAGCUUGAAUCAAGUCGAGGUGGAUGGAAUAUUACAUGUAGCGGUGAAAUGCUUAGAUAUGUAAUAGAACACCGAUUGCGAAGGCAGUUCACUAGGCUUGUAUUGACACUGAGGCACGAAAGCGUGGGGAUCAAACAGG
RNAcentral lists this ribosomal RNA (253 nucleotides) under uncultured bacterium. RNAcentral describes it as "partial 16S ribosomal RNA". It matches the Rfam family "Bacterial small subunit ribosomal RNA", at positions 524 to 776 of the family's 1533-position model. The record is from RNAcentral.